RNAcentral lists this ribosomal RNA (497 nucleotides) under uncultured bacterium. RNAcentral describes it as "partial 16S ribosomal RNA". It matches the Rfam family "Bacterial small subunit ribosomal RNA", at positions 28 to 507 of the family's 1533-position model. The record is from RNAcentral.
GAUGAACGCUGGCGGCGUGCCUAAUACAUGCAAGUCGAGCGAACAGACGAGGAUCUUGCUCCUCUGACGUUAGCGGCGGACGGGUGAGUAACACGUGGAUAACCCACCUAUAAGACUGGGAUCACUUCGGGAAACCGGAGCUAAUACCGGAUAAUAUAUUGAACCGUAUGGUUCAAUAGUGAAUGACGGCUUUGCUGUCACUAAUAGAUGGAUCCGGGCUGCAUUAGCUAGUUGGUAGGGUAACGGCUUACCAAGGCGACGAUGCGUAGCCGACCGGAGAGAGUGGUCGGCGGCCCUAGAACUGGAACAGGGUCCAGACUCCUACGGGAGGCAGCAGUAGGGAACCGGCCGCAGUGGUCGAGAGCCUUACGCAGCAGGGCGGCGUGAGUGAUGAAGGUCUUCGGAUCGUAAAACUCUGUUAUGAGGGGAAAACAGAUGUGUAAUUAGCUGUACACGUCUUGACGGUAACUAGUCAGAAAGCCCCGGCUAACUACGUG